CGCCUUGCCAGCCCGCUCAGAAACUUAAAGGAAUUGACGGGGGCCCGCACAAGCGGUGGAGUAUGUGGUUUAAUUCGAUGCAACGCGAAGAACCUUACCUGGUCUUGACAUCCCGGAGACCCUUAGGAAACUAGGGGGUGCUUCCAUCUGGAAGAAUCUGGAGACAGGUGCUGCAUGGCUGUCGUCAGCUCGUGUCGUGAGAUGUUGGGUUAAGUCCCGCAACGAGCGCAACCCUUGCCUUUAGUUGCCAGCAGUUCGGCUGGGCACUUUAAAGGGACUGCCGGUGUUAAACCGGAGGAAGGUGGGGAUGACGUCAAGUCCUCAUGGCCUUUAUGACCAGGGCUACACACGUACUACAAUGGCCGAUACAAAGGGCAGCGACACUGCGAGGUGAAGCCAAUCCCGUAAAAUCGGUCUCAGUCCGGAUUGGAGUCUGCAACUCGACUCCAUGAAGUUGGAAUCGCUAGUAAUCGUGGAUCAGCAUGCCACGGUGAAUACGUUCCCGGGCCUU
RNAcentral lists this ribosomal RNA (511 nucleotides) under uncultured Desulfobulbus sp. RNAcentral describes it as "bacterial SSU rRNA". It matches the Rfam family "Bacterial small subunit ribosomal RNA", at positions 903 to 1382 of the family's 1533-position model. Lineage: Bacteria; Pseudomonadati; Thermodesulfobacteriota; Desulfobulbia; Desulfobulbales; Desulfobulbaceae. The record is from RNAcentral.